UAAAAUAUUUAUGUGUAAUGUAUCACACUAUUUUUGCCAGCUCCAAAAUGUUACUUUUAGAAAAUAAAUGAGAAUAGGAUAUUUGUUUUUUGUCUUUUUCAUAAUGAGUUAACUUUAUGUUUACGGAGGAUAGAAUCUCAAUAUUAAAAAGGGGUAACAAUUUAUACGAUUAAUUAAAAUUUUAUGUACAAUGUAUCACACCAUAUCUGCUAGCUCUAAAAUGUAAUAAAUAAGAAUAUAAUAUAUAUUUUUUGUCUUUUUCAUAAUGGGUCAACUUUAUGUUUAUGAAGGAUAGAAUCUCAAUGUUAAAAAGGGGUAACAUUCAUUAGAUUAAUU
Molecule: small RNA, 336 nt
Filed under: Arabidopsis thaliana (thale cress)
Lineage: Eukaryota; Viridiplantae; Streptophyta; Magnoliopsida; Brassicales; Brassicaceae
Description: ATSL211260
Source: RNAcentral